RNAcentral lists this unclassified non-coding RNA (285 nucleotides) under plant metagenome. Its description in RNAcentral is "partial contains small subunit ribosomal RNA, internal transcribed spacer 1, and 5.8S ribosomal RNA". The stretch from base 1 to 54 matches the Rfam family "Eukaryotic small subunit ribosomal RNA", at positions 1778 to 1831 of the family's 1831-position model. The record is from RNAcentral.
GGAAGUAGAAGUCGUAACAAGGUUUCCGUAGGUGAACCUGCGGAAGGAUCAUUAUUGUAUAACCGAGGUGCGAGGGCUGUCGCUGACCCGAAAGGUCGUGCACGCCCGAGUGCCCUCACACACAUCCAUCUCACCCCUAUGUGCACCACCGCGUGGGUCCCCCUUUGGCUUGUUCGGAGGGGGGCUUACGUUUUCACACAAAGUUUGUAUGCAGUGUAGAAUGUAUUUUUUGUUUUUGCGAUCACGCAAUCAAUACAACUUUCAACAACGGAUCUCUUGGCUCUC